GAUGAACGCUAGCGACAGGCUUUAACACAUGCAAGUCGAGGGGCGAGCACGGUGUAGCAAUACACUGGUGGCGACCGGCGCACGGGUGAGUAAACACGUGUGCAACCAACCCCGUACCGGGAGGAUAACCGCGGAAACGUGGACUAACAUCCCAUGAUACUCGAGAGCCGCAUGGCUCUAGAUUUAAAAUUACCGGUGGUACGGGACGGGCACGCGCGACAUUAGGUAGUUGGCGGGGUAAGGGCCCACCAAGCCGACGAUGUCUAGGGGUUCUGAGAGGAAGGUCCCCCACCACUGGAACUGAGACACGGUCCAGACUCCUACGGGAGGCAGCAGUGAGGAAUAUUGGUCAAUGGGCGAGAGCCUGAACCAGCCAAAGUCGCGUGAGGGAAGAAUGGUCUAUGGCCUGUAAACCUCUUUUGUCAGGGAAGAAUAAGGAUGACGAGUCAUUCGAUGCCAGUACCUGACGAAUAAGCAUCGGCUAACUCCGUGCCAGCAGCCGCCG
This 505-nucleotide ribosomal RNA is filed under the name uncultured bacterium. RNAcentral describes it as "bacterial SSU rRNA". It matches the Rfam family "Bacterial small subunit ribosomal RNA", at positions 28 to 520 of the family's 1533-position model. The record is from RNAcentral.